CACUAUUAAACACAGAAUCCACAGAAUCUAGGCUCCUGGAGUGGUACAUAAUUUACAUUUCAAGCAUUACAAGUGCUUAUGAGAUUUCACUCAUGUUUCUACUUCAUUUUUCCUAAUUACCAUUCAAAUUUUAUUCUUUGGAACAGACUCAGAAACCCCUCUUUACCUUAGAUUCAAUGGUAUUUAAAAAAUAAAAUGUUAUGUACACAAGCUUGUGAAGUGGCCCCUUGCGAACCUACUGAGGUUCAAGUCCAUGUGUAAGGUGCUGCAGCUGGGUUGGGGCAAUCCUGGACAUGAGCACAGGCUGGGAGAAGAACUCAUUGAGAGCAGACCUGCAGAGAAGGACUUCGGGGUUCUGGUGCACAAAAAGCUCAACAUGAGCCAGCAGGGUGUGCUUGCAGCCCGGAAGGCCAACUGCAUCCUAGGCUACAUCAACAGAGGAGAGGCCAGCAGGUCGAGGGAUGUGAUUGUCCCCUCUCUGCUCUGACCUUGUGAGGCCCCCCAUGAACCAUGAAGUGCAGCUUCCAGGUCUUGUGCCCUCAGAACAAGAAGGAUGUGGAGCUGUUAGAGUGGGUACUGAGGAGGGACACAAAGAUGAUCAGAGGUCUGGAGCACUUCUCAUCUGAAGAAAGGCUGAGAGAGCAGGGGAACUUCAGCCUGGUGAAGAGAAGGCUUGGGGAUGCCUUAAAACAGCCUUUCAGCCUUCUUCACUCAGAGGUUGGUAAGGCACUGGAACAGGUUGCCCAGAGAAGCUGUGGAUGCCCCAUCCCUGGAAGUGUUCAAGGCCAGGUUGGAUGGCGCUUUGAGUAACCUGAUCUAGUAGGAGGUGUCCCUGCCCAUGGCAGAGGAGUUGGAACUAGAUGGUCUUUAUGGUCUCUUCCAAUCCAAAAUAUUCUAUGAUUUUGUGAUUCUAAAUUGUGAAACCAAGGGAAAACAAUCAUCCAUUAAAAUUACAGCAUAUGAUACUUACUCCUUGGUGACAGAAGACAAUGUAAUUUGGCACUCCUGUAUAUAAUCAUACACUGUAUCUACAAAAAUAAAAUAGAACUAAAAAUAAAAAUUUUAUAUUAAUAGAGAUUUAUAAAUAUAUUAUCACAAUGACAUUUAUAAAGAAGAUACUACCAUCAAAAGCAGACUAACAUGCAUUAAUAACUUAUACUUGGCAACACUGAACUGGAAAGGAAAUAAACACUUCUAUGAAAAGUUCUGUCACUGACUGACUUUAUUCAAGAUUGAGUUUCAAGCAAUAGCAAUAACCCCACUUAAAAACAACCUUUGGGAUUGGUGUAGUCAGCAUCAUGCAGACACUGCUAAAGAAUAUACUUAAACAUAUUUGC
Molecule: long non-coding RNA, 1337 nt
Organism: Cygnus olor (mute swan)
Lineage: Eukaryota; Metazoa; Chordata; Aves; Anseriformes; Anatidae
Exons: 3
Source: RefSeq, a predicted model, not a curated record